GGCGGAUGGUGCCAUUUACUAAGUAACAGUGGAGGAGAAACAGGUUUGGAGGAAGAAAAUGACAUCUUUAUUUUGAGGUGCUUGUGGAAAUCCAAGUGGGGUCAGGUAGCAGUUGGUCAUGUAAAUUGUGAGUCCAGUUGAUGGAGAGGAGGGCUGGGCAUACAGUUUUGGGUGAUAACUGAAACUAUGGAUAUGGGUAAGAUUGCCAAGGGAGAAUCUGUAGAAUAAGAAGAACCCUGAUCAGAAUUCAGACACACAAGAGUUUUGGGGAGGGACAAGAAGAGUAGCAGUCAGGAAAGUGGUAGAAAACAUUAAGAGAGGAAAGUCUCGGAAAAGGUCAGGGAAGAAAAUGAUGACAGCAGGAGUGAGCUGUUUCUAAGGAGUUUAAGAGAAACCAGAAUGAAAGAGAGGUGAGACAAUGCAACGAGCAUAAAGAAAUACUGCAAAAAGUGUGGCUGUUAGGAGCAGGUGAGAUUGGCAGGUGAUAGGAGAUGCAGACAGAAGAGUUUUUUCCUUUUAAUUUUUACUCAAGAUGGGGUAGACUUGUGCCUGCUAGCAAGAAAAUUCUGUAGGUCGGAGUGUUGAAUGUAAAGGCCAAGUCAAAGUCAUUGAGGAGGCAGGACAUAGAUGAGACAUUAACCGCAGAUAAGAAGGAAAACAAGGAAUUCUUUGACUGUCCAGUGGUUAGGACACUUCCACUAUAGGGGGGCCUGGGUUUGAUCCCUGGUUUGGGAACCAAGAUCCACAUGCCCUGAGGCAUGGUCAAAAAAAACAGGGAAGCAAACAAACAAAGGAAAACAUCUCUUCUGCUUAGUGGAGGAAGAGGGGGAAAAGGAUGCCUAUAGAAGGGGGUAAGUUUGCUGAUCUGAUGGCAGGUGGCUAUGUUUUUCAUUUAUUCAUUCAACAAAUAUUUUUGAAUGCCUGGCACAUGCCAGGCACUGUUCUAGAUGCUAGCGAUACAAAGAGAAUAAAACAAGGUCUCCAUCUCCAUAGAACUUACAUAUCAGGCAGGUGGAUAGAGAAAUAUGUAUGUAUAUAUUUUUCAAAGCCCCAGUAGUUGGUCAGCGCUACGAGAAAACAAGAAAACGUAAAGAAGCUUAGGGAGGGAGACUUGAAAGGGUAUCUGUUUAAAUAGGGUGUCUAGGAUCAGCCUCUUUGAGGUGGGAAAUGAAAAGGCAAGGCAUUAAAGAUCUAGAAGGAUUAUUCCAGGCAGAGGAAACAACAGAUAUACAGGCUCUGAGGCAGGAGUAUAUUCGGCAGCAUCAAAGAGUAAUAGUAAGGAAGCUGUCUGAAACUAAGAUUAUAAAUCAGUUAUACUUCAAUUAAAAAAAACAGUAAGGAGGCCAGCACAGCUGCAGCAGAGGAAGGCAGGAGAGAGGGAUGAGAACGGUAGGCAAGGUUCUGGGCACAGAGGUCUAGUAGGCUGUGGUGGGGACUUUAGACCUUUAGUCUGAACGUGAUGAGGACUCUUGGAAGGUUUUGAACAGAGAAGUGACCGGAUACAAUCUGUGAACAAAUAAUCAGGCUCCGGUGCAGAAUAGACGGUAGAGAACAAGAGCGAAAGCAGG
Molecule: long non-coding RNA, 1568 nt
Organism: Bos taurus (domestic cattle)
Lineage: Eukaryota; Metazoa; Chordata; Mammalia; Artiodactyla; Bovidae
Source: Ensembl